RNAcentral lists this ribosomal RNA (897 nucleotides) under Leptobacillium leptobactrum. RNAcentral's name for it is "LSU rRNA". It matches the Rfam family "Eukaryotic large subunit ribosomal RNA", at positions 38 to 965 of the family's 3401-position model. The record is from RNAcentral. Lineage: Eukaryota; Fungi; Ascomycota; Sordariomycetes; Hypocreales; Cordycipitaceae.
GCAUAUCAAUAAGCGGAGGAAAAGAAACCAACAGGGAUUGCCCCCAGUAACGGCGAGUGAAGCGGCAACAGCUCAAAUUUGAAAUCUGGCCCCUAGGGUCCGAGUUGUAAUUUGCAGAGGAUGCUUUUGACAAGGUGCCUUCCGAGUUCCCUGGAACGGGACGCCAUAGAGGGUGAGAGCCCCGUCUGGUCGGAUACCGCGUCUAUGUAAAGCUCCUUCGACGAGUCGAGUAGUUUGGGAAUGCUGCUCUAAAUGGGAGGUAUAUGUCUUCUAAAGCUAAAUAUUGGCCAGAGACCGAUAGCGCACAAGUAGAGUGAUCGAAAGAUGAAAAGCACUUUGAAAAGAGGGUUAAAAAGUACGUGAAAUUGUUGAAAGGGAAGCGCCUAUGACCAGACUUGGGCCCGGUGAAUCAUCCAGCGUUCUCGCUGGUGCACUUUGCCGGGCACAGGCCAGCAUCAGUUUGGCUUGGGGGAAAAAGGCUUUGGGAACGUAGCUCCUCGGAGUGUUAUAGACCAUUGCAUAAUACCCUGGGCCGGACUGAGGUUCGCGCAUCUGCAAGGAUGCUGGCGUAAUGGUCAUCAGCGACCCGUCUUGAAACACGGACCAAGGAGUCGUCUUCGUAUGCGAGUGUUCGGGUGUAAAACCCCUACGCGUAAUGAAAGUGAACGCAGGUGAGAGCUUCGGCGCAUCAUCGACCGAUCCUGAUGUUCUCGGAUGGAUUUGAGUAAGAGCAUACGGGGCCGGACCCGAAAGAAGGUGAACUAUGCCUGUAUAGGGUGAAGCCAGAGGAAACUCUGGUGGAGGCUCGCAGCGGUUCUGACGUGCGAAUCGAUCGUCAAAUAUGGGCAUGGGGGGCGAAAGACUAAUCGAACCUUCUAGUAGCUGGUUUCCGCCGAA